RNAcentral lists this non-coding RNA (29 nucleotides) under Homo sapiens (human). The record is from RNAcentral. Lineage: Eukaryota; Metazoa; Chordata; Mammalia; Primates; Hominidae.
GAUCUGAAGGUGAUCUGGAAUCCUAAGGU